GUGCCAGCCGCCGCGGUAAUUCCAGCUCCAAUAGCGUAUAUUAAAGUCGUUGUGGUUAAAAAGCUCGUAGUUGAACCUUGGGCCUGGCUGGCCGGUCCGCCUCACCGCGUGCACUGGUCCGGCCGGGCCUUUCCCUCUGUGGAACCCCAUACCCUUCACUGGGCGUGGCGGGGAAACAGGACAUUUACUUUGAAAAAAUUAGAGUGCUCCAGGCAGGCCUAUGCUCGAAUACAUUAGCAUGGAAUAAUAAAAUAGGACGCGCGGUUCUAUUUUGUUGGUUUAUAGGACCGCCGUAAUGAUUAAUAGGGACAGUCGGGGGCAUCAGUAUUCAACUGUCAGAGGUGAAAUUCUUGGAUCAGUUGAAGACUAACUACUGCGAAAGCAUUUGCCAAGGAUGUUUUCAUUAAUCAGGAACGAAAGUUAGGGGAUCGAAGACGAUCAGAUACCGUCGUAGUCUUAACCAUAAACUAUGCCGACUAGGGAUCGGACGGUGUUAUUCAUGACCCGUUCGGCACCUUACGAGAAAUCAAAGUGCUUGGGCUCCAGGGGGAGUAUGGUCGCAAGGCUGAAACUUAAAGAAAUUGACGGAAGGGCACCACCAGGGGUGGAGCCUGCGGCUUAAUUUGACUCAACACGGGGAAACUCACCAGGUCCAGACACAUAAGGACUGACAGAUUGAGAGCUCUUUCUUGAUUUUGUGGGUGGUGGUGCAUGGGCCGUCUAGUUGGUGGGGUGACUGUCUGCUUAAUGCGAUAACGAACGAGACCUUAACCUGCUAAAUAGCCCGCAUUGCUUCGGCAGUGCGCUGGCUUCUUUAGAA
Molecule: ribosomal RNA, 820 nt
Filed under: uncultured fungus
Lineage: Eukaryota; Fungi
Description: SSU rRNA
Rfam family: Eukaryotic small subunit ribosomal RNA
Source: RNAcentral